Molecule: long non-coding RNA, 791 nt
Organism: Salmo salar (Atlantic salmon)
Lineage: Eukaryota; Metazoa; Chordata; Actinopteri; Salmoniformes; Salmonidae
Source: RefSeq, a predicted model, not a curated record
CCUGUCGAGGUGGAUCCAGUUGACAAUGGGUGUCAACAGGUAGAUAACGUUAGUCACUGGACCAGCCACUCGUUCAUAGAACAUCAGCUUGCAAAACCGUAUUUCUUUUUAUUUUUGUGUCAACAACAACUGUAAAGUUUAGUCAUGGUGUGGUGCUCACUACCUGGAUGUCCAAACUACAAGGCAGCACAGGCUGCUGGGGUAACAUUUCAUUGAUUACCUUACUAAGAAGUCGAGCAGAGUCAGAUCCCAUAAACGUCUGCAGCGGCAUCAACACCAAGCCCAGCACCAGGAACUAAUACGAAUCCUGCUGCUGCUAAUGAUGAUGAACUUGACACCAGCUUGAGUAGUACAGAUCCUGUAGACCCAUUGGAUGAAAGCUUUCAGCCAGGAAUAAGCUCAACAUCAUCUGACUCGGAAGAGGAAAAGACUGCACGCGGCUGGCAUGAUCCAAAGUGUAUAGUCUACGAGUCCAAGGUCAUGGAGCUCAUGAAGUUCUGCCAGACCAUCUGCCAUUGCCCAACACAAGAUGAGGUUCACCAGCUAAAGAACAUUCAGGACGCUGCCUGGAACAUUCAGCCAACACAACAUCCAUAUUCAGUUAGACUGAUGUUGUAGUAUAAUAAAGAAUGUCUAGUAUACUCACAACUACUUUGUGGUAUAGAUAUUUCUUGUACAUAUGUAUAUCAUGGAGUUUGAUCAAUUGUUUUAUGUAAUAUUUUUUACAAGUGUACUGACAAGUGACUCAAUGAUUUCAACUGCAUCAAAAACCAAUAAAUUGUUGACUUCCA